Molecule: long non-coding RNA, 1415 nt
Organism: Lotus japonicus
Lineage: Eukaryota; Viridiplantae; Streptophyta; Magnoliopsida; Fabales; Fabaceae
Exons: 2
Source: RefSeq, a predicted model, not a curated record
AUUUAUUGGUUUGUUUUUCACUUUUUCUCAAUGUUUCCUUCUAGGAUAGACAAAUACGCAUGAACGUUUUCCUAUCUCCACUCGUAUUUCUUGAUAGCUGCAUGUUGUGCUUGACGAUUUCAAAUUCUCCUUCCUCUGAUUGCUCUGAGUGAAGGUUCCAGGUUAAAUGCUCAACUACUCAAUCAAUUUUAUCUUUUACUAUAAAUUGAUUCCAAUAAUCUUCAUUCCAUCCACGGUCAAAUUACACAGAGGGGGGGAAUUUGAGUUGGAUUUUCAAUUUUUUGAAUUUUUGGGUUUCUAGAUAUUGAGAAACUAAUUGGGUGGAUAUGAGUGCUGUAGCAUAAAAUAUACAGGUAAAUCUUCUGAUUUCUUUACCCAAUUUUUUUUUUCAUAUUCAGUGGUUCUUGCGGUGUCUUUUUUGAAACUUUGCAGUUGAAUAUAAUUUUAUGUGAAGCAUACAUUGACUCUCACUGAAAAAACAGUAUCCGGUAUAUAAUUUUAUUGAACUGAACCAAUAUCCGAGUAUUCUUGACUUCUUUUGACUGUGAAAAAACAAGAUCAAUUUUACUGACUGGUUCCAAAGUUUAGUGCUUUGUUAUUAAGGUUUGUUCUUUUGGUUGGGGAAGGAUUAAGCAUUCAGUGUUGAAACUCUAUCAAUCUAUAGAAAAGCUAGACUGCAGGGAUUGGAUUCUGUUUAUCAAUUCAGCUUCAAUGUAUCUUCUAGCUCUAAAUAAAGCUCAUUGUAGUCUCUCUAGGCAGAUCUGGUAAUGGGAUAAGUUUUCAAUUUUUUUAAUGGUCACCAUCAUGUUUAGCUCCUUAGGAUAACAUAGUGCAUAAGACAUGGUUGCGAUUGUUGCUUCUCUUUUGUGUGGUAAACAUGGCUGAUACCAAAUUUUUUCCUGUAUUUGCUAGUGUGAACACAUAAAUUAUCUUCCCAAGUGGUGUUUUUUCCUGUCAAGAGAACACCAAGAAUAGGGAGGGAGGCGUCGAUACAGACCAGUUGUUGGAUUAGAUCCAAUCUAGAUCUUGGCGAUGGUUGACUGAGAAAGCAAAAGGGUUCCAUUGUUCUCUCUAUGAUUGGAAGAUGCACCCUAACCCUGUUUUUGAUUUUUUCUAUUUCCUGUUUUCUAAUUUUCAUUUUUAGGUUCUAUAUAUUACCAUUCAAAGAGAAGAUGAUCUUGAAUAUUAGAGCUUUUGAAAGAUGGGAAUUGUUCUGAUGGAGGUGGAGAUGAUGCGAUUUGGUUUAGGCUGUUGAGUUGAUUCAUAUUCUUUGUUUCAUUAUAAUCUCUAUAGAUAGGACAUCUUAAAAAAUCAGGCUUUAGGUGUGGUUGUAAUAUCAGUAUUGAUAGUGUUAAUAAGUGUAUUUUUUGUUUGUUCCAAGAUCUAUCCGGAAGACAUUGUUUUAUUUGUGUUCA